UACGUAGGUGGCAAGCGUUGUCCGGAAUUACUGGGUGUAAAGGGAGCGAAGGCGGGAAGCCAAGUCAGCUGUGAAAACUACGGGCUUAACUUGUAGACUGCAGUUGAAACUGGUUUUCUUGAGUGAAGUAGAGGUUGGCGGAAUUCCGAGUGUAGCGGUGAAAUGCGUAGAUAUUCGGAGGAACACCGGUGGCGAAGGCGGCCAACUGGGCUUUAACUGACGCUGAGGCUCGAAAGUGUGGGGAGCAAACAGG
RNAcentral lists this ribosomal RNA (253 nucleotides) under uncultured bacterium. RNAcentral describes it as "partial 16S ribosomal RNA". It matches the Rfam family "Bacterial small subunit ribosomal RNA", at positions 524 to 776 of the family's 1533-position model. The record is from RNAcentral.